GAAGGGGAGAGGCGAGGCAGAGAAAGGGGAAGAGGAAAGCUUGAAAAGCAUUGUCUUGGGUUAACUGAAAAACCUGGGGUACAAGUCCUAUAGAAUGUGCAUCAGGGCUCUCUGAAGGAGGUCUCGUGCCAAGUCAUUCCCAAAAUUUCUCUACAGUCCACCCUUCAGUCUGGGAGCAGAGCUAUUUCUACUGGACAGUUCCUGGGAGCUGAUGAAUUAGUAUGUCAUUACCAGUGGUUAUAAAGAUUCUAUAGAAUCCUUAAACCUCCUAAGAUGCACAUUACUUACUGAUAGUGCAAUCUCUAUUUCUCCUUUGUCUUCUGGGACUGGUCUCUACGUACCCCAUUACUCACGUCCCUGUGUUAUUCAGGUAUUGUGAUGGGUAUCUAGUUCUAUCAUUCGACCUUGUGGUGUUCCACUAGAAGUAAAAAAAUAAACCCUUUCCCUUUCUUUCCUCAGACAAGCCAUUUGAAAUCCAAGUUCCCAACCUAAAGGGCAAGAAGUUCCCUCUGCAUUCUGGGGUGCUCUUCUUUUCGUCUUGGAAGAAUUAGGGAACAGAAGGAGAUAAGAGAUAGGUUCCAAGUAAUUUAAAAAGUCAGAACCAAGAAGUGAUGUAAGGAAUACCUCUGCACUGGCCCUAAAGCCCUGUUCAUUCACCUUCGUGUUUCCGAUCAUCUGCUUCCAGGAGAUGGGAUUCAAGUUCUGGCUCUGCCACGCAUCUACUGGCUUCAAGAUCCAAGCAAGUCACUUCCCAUCUUGGAGUUUAGAUAGUCACCUAAACUACAGGUCUGUCUCCCUGAGUGUUCUGUAAUGGCCCGGAAGAAGAGAACUCAGCGGAAGAAAGGAAACCUUUUCUCUUCAGCCUUCCUACAAUUACGAGGGAACAACAAUCUGAAUUUCUG
Mustela erminea (ermine) is the source of this 902-nucleotide long non-coding RNA. RefSeq lists it as uncharacterized. Lineage: Eukaryota; Metazoa; Chordata; Mammalia; Carnivora; Mustelidae. The record is from RefSeq and is a predicted model, not a curated record. The transcript is spliced from 3 exons.